RNAcentral lists this transfer RNA (80 nucleotides) under uncultured phage cr50_1. RNAcentral's name for it is "crAssphage cr50_1 tRNA-Ser". The record is from RNAcentral. Lineage: Duplodnaviria; Heunggongvirae; Uroviricota; Caudoviricetes; Crassvirales; Suoliviridae.
GAUCCACUCGUCUAUUGGUUAGGACGCAAGAUUUUCUUGAGUGAAAAUUUGAAAAAAAGUUCGAUUCUUUUGUGGAUCAC